GUCCCCAUCGUCUAGACGGCCUAGGACACCGGGUUUUCAUCCCGGCAACAGGGGUUCGAAUCCCCUUGGGGACGCCA
RNAcentral lists this transfer RNA (77 nucleotides) under Gammaproteobacteria bacterium. RNAcentral describes it as "tRNA-Glu". It matches the Rfam family "tRNA". From Rfam's summary of the family: Transfer RNA (tRNA) molecules are approximately 80 nucleotides in length. Their secondary structure includes four short double-helical elements and three loops (D, anti-codon, and T loops). The record is from RNAcentral. RNAcentral also lists the same sequence under 3 other names. Lineage: Bacteria; Pseudomonadati; Pseudomonadota; Gammaproteobacteria.